AAAAAGGGCUUCUGUCGUGAGUGGCACACGUAGGGCGCCUCGGUUGCUCUUCGUGCGGAAUCGACAUCAAGAGAUUUCGGAAGCAUAAUUUUUUGUAUUUAGGGCAGCUGGUGAUCGUUGGGUCCCGGCGCCCUU
Molecule: small nuclear RNA, 135 nt
Filed under: Choloepus hoffmanni (Hoffmann's two-fingered sloth)
Lineage: Eukaryota; Metazoa; Chordata; Mammalia; Pilosa; Megalonychidae
Description: U11 spliceosomal RNA (ENSCHOG00000014898.1)
Rfam family: U11 spliceosomal RNA
Source: RNAcentral